RNAcentral lists this unclassified non-coding RNA (349 nucleotides) under soil metagenome. Its description in RNAcentral is "partial contains 5.8S ribosomal RNA, internal transcribed spacer 2, and large subunit ribosomal RNA". The stretch from base 1 to 120 matches the Rfam family "5.8S ribosomal RNA", at positions 35 to 154 of the family's 154-position model. The record is from RNAcentral.
GAUGAAGAACGCAGCGAAAUGCGAUAAGUAAUGUGAAUUGCAGAAUUCAGUGAAUCAUCGAAUCUUUGAACGCACAUUGCGCCCCCUGGUAUUCCGGGGGGCAUGCCUGUCCGAGCGUCAUUGCUGCCCUCAAGCACGGCUUGUGUGUUGGGCCCCCGUCCCCGGUUCUCCCCGGGGACGGGCCCGAAAGGCAGCGGCGGCACCGCGUCCGAUCCUCGAGCGUAUGGGGCUUUGUCACCCGCUCUGUAGGCCCGGCCGGCGCCAGCCGACACCCCAACUUUAUUUUCUAAGGUUGACCUCGGAUCAGGUAGGGAUACCCGCUGAACUUAAGCAUAUCAAUAAGGGAGGA